RNAcentral lists this ribosomal RNA (634 nucleotides) under Hymenogaster griseus. RNAcentral describes it as "eukaryotic LSU rRNA". The stretch from base 256 to 409 matches the Rfam family "5.8S ribosomal RNA". Lineage: Eukaryota; Fungi; Basidiomycota; Agaricomycetes; Agaricales; Hymenogastraceae. The record is from RNAcentral.
AAGGAUCAUUAUUGAAUGAACUUGGCGUGGUUGUUGCUGGCCCUCUCGGGGGGCAUGUGCACACCCGCCAUCUCCAUCUCUCCACCUGUGCACCUCUUGUAGACCUGGAAUAGACUUUCCGAGGCAACUCGGUUGGGAGGAAAUGCUGUCGUUUUGCGUCAGCUUUCUUUGGACUUUCCAAGCCUACGUUUUUCAUAUACCCGUAGUAUGUAACAGAAUGUAUCAUUUGGGCCUCAGUGCCUAUAAACCAUAUACAACUUUCAGCAACGGAUCUCUUGGCUCUCGCAUCGAUGAAGAACGCAGCGAAAUGCGAUAAGUAAUGUGAAUUGCAGAAUUCAGUGAAUCAUCGAAUCUUUGAACGCACCUUGCGCUCCUUGGUAUUCCGAGGAGCAUGCCUGUUUGAGUGUCAUUUAAUUCUCAACCUUAUUAGCUUUUGCUGAUAAUGGCUUGGAUGUGGGGGGUUAUCUUUUGCUGGCUUCUUUCACAGAGGUCAGCUCCCCUGAAAUGCAUUAGCUGGUGCCCCGCGUGGACUGUCUAUUUGGUGUGAUAAUUAUCUACGCCGUGGAUGUCUGCAAUUGGUUUUGGCGCUGCUUCUAACUGUCUGUUCAWAGGGACAAUACAUGACAAUUUGACU